Molecule: long non-coding RNA, 734 nt
Organism: Oreochromis aureus
Lineage: Eukaryota; Metazoa; Chordata; Actinopteri; Cichliformes; Cichlidae
Source: Ensembl
CAUAAUGGUGGCGUAUUCCCUGCCUUAUCAUUUCUUUCCUGCUUGCAGGCUAGUAUUGUGCCAGAAAUAGAAAAAAGCAGUCACACCCGAUAUAUUGCAUAGAUUAGUUAUUAAGCGAGUUUCAUAAGAAGAUACUCGAUGGUCGGUUGCGUUGUGUGUCUGGCGACACUCUCAAUAGAGGACAUUGAACGAGAUCUACCCAUUCGGAACCAUGAUAACAGAGUUCUGGCUGAUCGGAGCUGGCUUGAACCUGGCUUAUCGAAGAACAAAGAAAGCGGUCCCACAAGGCUGGCUGACAUGACUGACGCAUGUCUUUAUCCUGUUUUCCUUCUCUCACCCCAACCGGUCGCAGCAGAUGGCCCCGCCCCUCCCUGAGCCUGGUUCUGCCAGAGGUUUCUUCCUGUUAAAAGGGAGUUUUUCCUUCCCACUGUCGCCAAAGUGCUUGCUCAUAGGGGGAUUUUCUCCUUAACACUUUGCAUCUUCAUCCACCAACUGCAACCACUCACCUGCCACCUCCGCUGGAGGAUUCGCUGCACGGCCCGCCGGAUGACUUGCUGCAUGAACUGCCGGCGUGAAUAAUUAUCGUCUCACCCAGUUCAUCCAGCAUUUCCACACCACAGCAGGAGCAGCCACGUCAGAGUUGUUCCACAUCACCAUCACUUUUCCCUGCUGAUCCCGCUCCUCCUUCCAGGAGGACGCAACAUCUACACCACUGGCAGUCAUAAGCAGAUGCG